AUUGAACGCUGGCGGCAUGCCUUACACAUGCAAGUCGAACGGCAGCACGGGAGCAAUCCUGGUGGCGAGUGGCGAACGGGUGAGUAAUACAUCGGAACGUGCCCAAUCGUGGGGGAUAACGCAGCGAAAGCUGUGCUAAUACCGCAUACGAUCUACGGAUGAAAGCAGGGGAUCGCAAGACCUUGCGCGAAUGGAGCGGCCGAUGGCAGAUUAGGUAGUUGGUGAGGUAAAGGCUCACCAAGCCGUCGAUCUGUAGCUGGUCUGAGAGGACGACCAGCCACACUGGGACUGAGACACGGCCCAGACUCCUACGGGAGGCAGCAGUGGGGAAUUUUGGACAAUGGGCGAAAGCCUGAUCCAGCCAUGCCGCGUGCAGGAUGAAGGCCUUCGGGUUGUAAACUGCUUUUGUACGGAACGAAACGGCCUUUUCUAAUAAAGAGGGCUAAUGACGGUACCGUAAGAAUAAGCACCGGCUAACUACGUGCCAGCAACCGCGGUAAUACGUAGGGUGCAAGCGUUAAUCGGAAUUACUGGGCGUAAAGCGUGCGCAGGCGGUUAUGUAAGACAGUUGUGAAAUCCCCGGGCUCAACCUGGGAACUGCAUCUGUGACUGCAUAGCUAGAGUACGGUAGAGGGGGAUGGAAUUCCGCGUGUAGCAGUGAAAUGCGUAGAUAUGCGGAGGAACACCGAUGGCGAAGGCAAUCCCCUGGACCUGUACUGACGCUCAUGCACGAAAGCGUGGGGAGCAAACAGG
This 753-nucleotide ribosomal RNA is filed under the name uncultured Comamonadaceae bacterium. Its description in RNAcentral is "bacterial SSU rRNA". It matches the Rfam family "Bacterial small subunit ribosomal RNA", at positions 28 to 776 of the family's 1533-position model. The record is from RNAcentral. Lineage: Bacteria; Pseudomonadati; Pseudomonadota; Betaproteobacteria; Burkholderiales; Comamonadaceae.